CACCCUGCCCCUCCCCCUGCAGGCCAGCUUUCUCGCAGAGGCCUGAGCAUGCUCUUUGCCUGCCUGCCAUUGUGCAAUCCGUGUAUCUCUUUGGCUGAGAGUGGGCAAGAGGUGGGUUUGAUCUGGGCGAAGCUGGAGAGGUUUUGAAAGCCUGCUUUUGAGAAAAGCUCCGUCUUUGACCUGUUACGCCCUGAAGGAUGCUGGGGGUUUCAGAAUCAGCCCCUUUAUUUUAUAGAUAGAGAAGAUGGUAGGGGCCCAGGGGCUCGUGGAAUGAGUGAGGGGCGGGCUAGAGGAGAGACUGGGAUCUGCACAGCCUCUCACUCCAUCCAUUCAGGGAGCUGCUUCCAUUAUCCGGGAAAAGAGACUACGGGGCGGCUUGAGGGUGGGGCGCCAAGAGUCACCCUGCAGAAGGGACCCAAUGAAUCUCAACUAGCGAGUGUCAGGGCCAAGUAAAUGCAACCGCUGACAUCCGGUGGGUUGCUGACUCCAUGGGGACUCACCCACCCAUCCCGAUGGCUCACCACAGCACCUGGACUCUGGAGUGUCAUGCCCUCUGCCCUCUCCUCUCCCUAAGUGGGCUGCACAGGGAAGCCUUAGAGCCAGGCACCCGAGGUGAGUCACCCGCUCUCUUCCAGCCUUGCCCAGGUCUUUCUCUUGAUUUCUUUCCUCGUUGUGUUCCACUCUCUGGCUCUUUCUCAGAUUCUCUUAUUGCUCUCCUCGGGGCCCAACACGUGGUUGUACUGAAGGCGAGGUGAUACUAUCAGGUGGCCGCGGAAAGACAAGGGCACAAGUGCGGCCAGAGAAAUUCAUGUUAAGGUUCAUGUGCGUCCCCUCCCACGGGGUCACACCGGCCAUGUUCUUCCAGCCACCUAUUUACACCUGCGAUGGCUGGAGUACCCCACCUGAGAUGCGGUGUCCUGCAUUUAUGUGUGUUGCUGUCCAGCAACUGUCCACUUUCCAGAUGCCUAGGAGGGCAGAUGUUUUAUGCGCGCACACACACACACACACACACACAACUCCACUGUAUGAGCUGUCUCAUAACAAUCACUCUUGCUGUGUAGGAAGGGAUAGUUUGAAAUCCUGGUCCCAGCCCAAGACCAUUUUUGCCAGAGUCUUCCCUAAAGGUCGGCCCUCACGCCCGUGGAAUAGCAGCUUUUCUGGGAUAUUAUUCUAGGGCUUAGAUUCAUUGAUAAAACAAUUCUUUCAAUGUGAGCUGGGCCACACCCCUCAAUUUUAUUUUGUGACAGGGUCUCACUGUGCAGCCCAGCCUAACCUGGAACUCUUAGCUUUUCAAGCUUGGACUCUUGAGUGCUGGGUUACAGCCCUAUAUCACCAGAGGCUCUACUCCUUGUCUUUAUCAAUCUAAGGCUACAUACACAUGCUGCUUGCUGUGAUCAUAAAACAAGAGAAAGAGCUAUAAGAAUAUGUUCUGGUGGGGUUUGGGGGAAUGGGAUGCCUCAGAGGGCCCAUGCUGAGGCAUCCCUUCCUCCUGAGAGAUUAG
RNAcentral lists this long non-coding RNA (1501 nucleotides) under Mus musculus (house mouse). RNAcentral describes it as "long non-coding RNA chr5:112643783-112645284". The record is from RNAcentral. Lineage: Eukaryota; Metazoa; Chordata; Mammalia; Rodentia; Muridae.